AAUGAACGCUGGCGGUGUGCCUAACACAUGCAAGUCGAACGGCAGCACAGUAAGAGCUUGCUCUUACGGGUGGCGGGUGGCGUACGUGUGAGGAAUACAUCGGAAUCUACUUUUUCGUGGGGGAUAACGUAGGGAAACUUACGCUAAUACCGCAUACGACCUACGGGUGAAAGCAGGGGAUCUUCGGACCUUGCGCGAUUGAAUGAGCCGAUGUCGGAUUAGCUAGUUGGCGGGGUAAAUGCCCACCAAGGCGACGAUCCGUAGCUGGUCUGAGAGGAGGAUCAGCCACGCUGGAACUGAGACACGGUCCAGAGUCCUACGGGAGGCAGCAGUGGGGAAUAUUGGACAAUGGGCGCAAGCCUGAUCCAGCCAUACCGCGUGGGUGAAGAAGGCCCUCGGGUUGUAAAGCCGUUUUGUUGGGAAAGAAAAGCAGCAGGUUAAUACCCCGCUGUUCUGACGGUACCCAAAGAAUAAGCACCGGCUAACUUCGUG
RNAcentral lists this ribosomal RNA (492 nucleotides) under uncultured bacterium. RNAcentral describes it as "partial 16S ribosomal RNA". It matches the Rfam family "Bacterial small subunit ribosomal RNA", at positions 29 to 507 of the family's 1533-position model. The record is from RNAcentral.